CAGCCGCCGCGGGAAUACGAAGGGGGCUAGCGUUGUUCGGAUUAACUGGGCGUAAAGGGCGCGUAGGCGGGUUUUUAAGUCAGAGGUGAAAUCCCAAGGCUCAACCUUGGAACUGCCUUUGAUACUGGAAGUCUUGAGUCCGGGAGAGGUGAGUGGAACUGCGAGUGUAGAGGUGAAAUUCGUAGAUAUUCGCAAGAACACCAGUGGCGAAGGCGGCUCACUGGCCCGGUACUGACGCUGAGGCGCGAAAGCGUGGGGAGCAAACAGGAUUAGAUACCCGGGUAGUCCCUGUCUCUUAUAC
RNAcentral lists this ribosomal RNA (301 nucleotides) under uncultured bacterium. Its description in RNAcentral is "partial 16S ribosomal RNA". It matches the Rfam family "Bacterial small subunit ribosomal RNA", at positions 509 to 807 of the family's 1533-position model. The record is from RNAcentral.